Molecule: ribosomal RNA, 1333 nt
Filed under: Klebsiella quasipneumoniae
Lineage: Bacteria; Pseudomonadati; Pseudomonadota; Gammaproteobacteria; Enterobacterales; Enterobacteriaceae
Description: partial 23S ribosomal RNA
Rfam family: Bacterial large subunit ribosomal RNA
Source: RNAcentral
AUGAGGGUGAUGACGUGCUUUUUGUAGAACGAGCCAACGAGUUACGGUAUGUAGCAAGGUUAAGUACUUAAGGUACGGAGCCGAAGGGAAACCGAGUCUGAAUAGGGCGACUAGUUGCAUGCCGUAGACCCGAAACCGGGUGACCUAUCCAUGGCCAGGUUGAAGCGAGGGUAAAACCUCGUGGAGGACCGAACCACGUUGCUGUUGAAAAAGCAUGGGAUGAGCUGUGGAUAGCGGAGAAAUUCCAAUCGAACCCGGAGAUAGCUGGUUCUCUCCGAAAUAGCUUUAGGGCUAGCGUCGAGUAUGAGUAGUGGAGGUAGAGCACUGAAUGGGCUAGGGGGCAUAGCGCUUACCGAACCUUAUCAAACUCCGAAUGCCACAUACUUUGAGCUCGGCAGUCAGACUACGAAUGAUAAGAUCCGUGGUCAAAAGGGAAACAGCCCAGAUCGUCAGCUAAGGUCCCAAAGUGUAAGUUAAGUGGGAAAGGAUGUGAGAUUUCUAAGACAACUAGGAUGUUGGCUUAGAAGCAGCCAUUCAUUAAAAGAGUGCGUAAUAGCUCACUAGUCGAGAGAUCUUGCGCCGAAAAUGUAACGGGGCUAAACUUACCACCGAAGCUACGGGCUUGAACUUAGUUCAAGCGGUAGGAGAGCGUCGUAACCGGGCUGAAGUCGUACCGUAAGGAGCGGUGGACUGGUUACGAGUGAGAAUGUUGGCAUCAGUAGCGAGAUGUGGGUGAGAAUCCCACAGGCCGAAAACCUAAGGUUUCCUCAGGAAGGUUCGUCCGCUGAGGGUUAGUCGGGACCUAAGCCGAGGCCGAAAGGCGUAGGUGAUGGACAACUGGUUGAUAUUCCAGUACCACUACCAUCGUUAUUAUCGAUGGCGUGACGCAGGAGGAUAGUGUGUGCUAGCUAUUGGAUGCUAGUCUAAGCGUUUAGGCAGUGAGAGUAGGCAAAUCCGCUCUCAUAAUGCUGAGGCGUGAUGGGGAAGGUUCUACGGAACCGAAGUACAUGAUUCCACGCUGCCAAGAAAAGCGUCUAGAGAGAGAAGUAGUGCCCGUACCGCAAACCGACACAGGUAGGUGAGGAGAGAAUCCUAAGGCCGGCGGAAGAAUUACAGUUAAGGAACUCGGCAAAUUGACCCCGUAAGUUCGCGAGAAGGGGUGCCUACGAGAGUAGGCCGCAGAGAAUAGGCCCAAGCAACUGUUUAGCAAAAACACAGGUCUCUGCUAAAGCGUAAGCUGAUGUAUAGGGGCUGACGCCUGCCCGGUGCUGGAAGGUUAAGGGGAACACUUAGCGCAAGCGAAGGUGUGAACUUAAGCCCCAGUAAACGGCGG